Molecule: ribosomal RNA, 856 nt
Filed under: uncultured bacterium
Lineage: Bacteria
Description: bacterial SSU rRNA
Rfam family: Bacterial small subunit ribosomal RNA
Source: RNAcentral
CAGUAGAGGGAAAGUGGAACUCCAUGUGUAGCGGUGAAAUGCGUAGAUAUAUGGAAGAACACCAGUGGCGAAGGCGGCUGUCUGGUCUGUAACUGACGCUGAGGCUCGAAAGUAUGGGUAGCAAACAGGAUUAGAUACCCUGGUAGUCCAUACCGUAAACGAUGAAUGCUAAGUGUUGGAGGGUUUCCGCCCUUCAGUGCUGCAGCUAACGCAUUAAGCAUUCCGCCUGGGGAGUACGGCCGCAAGGCUGAAACUCAAAGGAAUUGACGGGGGCCCGCACAAGCGGUGGAGCAUGUGGUUUAAUUCGAAGCUACGCGAAGAACCUUACCAGGUCUUGACAUACUAUGCAAAUCUAAGAGAUUAGACGUUCCCUUCGGGGACAUGGAUACAGGUGGUGCAUGGUUGUCGUCAGCUCGUGUCGUGAGAUGUUGGGUUAAGUCCCGCAACGAGCGCAACCCUUAUUAUCAGUUGCCAGCAUUCAGUUGGGCACUCUGGUGAGACUGCCGGUGACAAACCGGAGGAAGGUGGGGAUGACGUCAAAUCAUCAUGCCCCUUAUGACCUGGGCUACACACGUGCUACAAUGGCGUAUACAACGAGUUGCCAACCCGCGAGGGUGAGCUAAUCUCUUAAAGUACGUCUCAGUUCGGAUUGUAGGCUGCAACUCGCCUACAUGAAGUCGGAAUCGCUAGUAAUCGCGGAUCAGCACGCCGCGGCGAAUACGUUCCCGGGUCUUGUACACACCGCCCGUCACACCAUGAGAGUUUGUAACACCCAAAGCCGGUGGGGUAACCUUCGGGAGCCAGCCGUCUAAGGUGGGACAGAUGAUUAGGGUGAAGUCGUAACAAGGUAGCCGUA